AAAACUUCACAGUACAAACACUACUAAAACUCCUAGCCUCAAAGCUGCUACUCAUCUCUCUAAAAACCCUAUCUGGUCCAAACCUUCAAUCUCUCAGAUUCAUCUUGGUAGAAUGAGUCUCACCCUCCAAACUUUUUCGCUCAGCCCUAGAUCUCUUUAUUCAUGCUCCUACAUCUCAGAAAUUGUGAAUUUAUGAAAAUUCGGUGGAGGAUCAAGGAUUUGCAAGGCAAAUUUGGUUAUGAUCCAAACUCAACGAGAUUCUUUCUUAUGGCUUUGCAGUUUUUCUUGGAUUAAGGCAGUACUGUGCAAUGAUAUGGAGGCUACUGAUCUCAUCACCUGGCAAAAGCUCUGGCAGCCUCUGUCAGAAUGUUGGCCGAUUGCUUUAUCAACCAAUGUUAGUGUCUCCAACGACGACUUCGUUUGAUUCCAAUUAGGUUUUGAAGAUACAAGUCUGAAGACUUCAUACAAGUUAACAAGUUGAUCAUCCUUUUGAUAGGACUGUUAGGCAAAAUGUAACCGUAUUUCGCAAGGAUUUUAGUUUUGGCUAAGGCAAAUUUUUUAUAUUUUUUAUGGUUGUUAGUUCUUUCUCUGAUACGAUUGUGUAAACAAUAUAGUGACUUAUCUUAGGGUUGUAAAAUGGUAUCUUAGUGACUUAUCUUAGGCAAAUUAAUUCAUUUUUUUCUAAUUAAUGAUAUAUAUGAAAGUUGGAUGUUAUUGAACA
Lycium barbarum (goji berry) is the source of this 721-nucleotide long non-coding RNA. RefSeq lists it as uncharacterized. The record is from RefSeq and is a predicted model, not a curated record. The transcript is spliced from 4 exons. NCBI's taxonomy places the organism in Eukaryota, Viridiplantae, Streptophyta, Magnoliopsida, Solanales, Solanaceae.